Molecule: long non-coding RNA, 2432 nt
Organism: Gambusia affinis (western mosquitofish)
Lineage: Eukaryota; Metazoa; Chordata; Actinopteri; Cyprinodontiformes; Poeciliidae
Exons: 3
Source: RefSeq, a predicted model, not a curated record
CCGACGUAAUCUGAGAAAUGCGAACUUCUCAUUUUGAUUCAUCCCAACAAAGGCCAAGCAGAGGGGGGAAGAUUCAUCAUCACUAAUUAUGAAACAGUUUUGAUCUGGUUCGCAGCAAUGUUGAUAGAAUCGAACUGUUAUCACUCAUCUAGAGUCUGUUUCUCAGAAAUAAUUCACCGGAAUCGCUUGUCAAACGUAAUACCGUGUGAACAACAACGGAGAUGAUUUUCACUUUGCACGGCUGUCACAGCACAUGUGGUGGCGAAAUAAACAAAAAAAUAUUCAGCAGACACUUUGAGCCAUUGUCACUCCACUGGCUGAUAACAGUGUGGAAAUAGCUGCCUGUCAGGCUGUGUGAUUACAGUGGACUGCUGGUAAGAACACUUCCAGAGGGCAUAUUUAAGACAUGUCUCAUGUUUCAUUUCAACAGUGAAUCAUAAUUUUGCAGGGAGCCGCAUCACUGGUAAGACAUGGCUUUCUUCAUUUGAGCCGAGCGGUGAAAUAUGUUCGCCAAAAUGGGAAAGAAAAGAAAUUAUUCAUGGAAAAUGGAAAUCAAGUGUUAAUGUGAUAAUAUUUCUCUGCCUUUCACAACUAAAAGACAUGAUGAUACAUCAUCCUUAUCCACGCAGCACCUUGAAUCUAGAGGCCGGACCGAAGAAAUGGAAAUGAAAGUGAUGAUUUUUAUUGUCUCUGAGCGACAUGGGGAUGAUUUAAAUUAGCCAUUAACCAGAACAACAAGAUUAUGCUUUGUAAUUAUACUUUUUUUUUCUCUCAAGUAAUAUCAAUUGCAUUUACGCUCAUAAUGAAAAUUAAUCAUAUUUAUAGAUUCACAUUCCAAAGGCGAAGUGCGGAGUUUGCCAAGAAGUAGCAAAGUCACAGAGUUAUCGGUGGUGUAAGUUUGAUCCGUUCCACCGCAGGCUGGGUUUGCUCCAGCUGCCAGUUUUUCUUCCUGGAGGUUAGCUGGAGUAACAUCUGUUGCUACAUCUCCCUGUCAUGUUGACUGAAAAGCUCCUUGAGCAAGGCACCUUGACAAAAGAGGCUCCUCAGCGCCCUCUGAAGCAGAUUAAGUGUUGCCUGGUAACUAUGAGUGAGCCGAACUGAAAGAGCUUCUGGAAAUUAUGCCAAGGCUGCCCGCUUGGAGCAGUUACUUAGCUACCAAAACGCUCGAGUAUGAAGACAUGCUUUCAAAUUAUGGGAUAAACGCUAGGAUGUGCAUGGGUCUGGAGUAAAUGUCUUCACUCUGAAAAAUAAGACAGUUCAGGACCUGCUCCGAUGUCGUCUUCUUCAUUUAAAGGGACUGAUGAGUUGACCCGUUUUGGCCUAAGGAAACAUGGUGGGGAGUGGGUUGGACAAAGGUGGCUAAUGAAGACAUGCUACAGGUGUGGAGGGUGCUAAUGAGGACCAGCCGCCAGAGAAAGAAGCAGAUAAAAUAUUCCCCAAGAUAAUUAGUGACCACAGUGGAUUGAAUCACCACCCACUAUGAGAAUGUCCAGAAGAGAUUCACCAAGUUGGAAUUCACGAAAAGGCUUUCACCAUGACUAACACUGACCACAACCAUUGCAAGAACAGCUAGAAUUUCUGAGCAUUUCCAGACACCUUUAAAGAGCUGCCUCCAGAAAAUCAGGACAACCAGAAGGUCCCCCUGUUAUCAGGGCGUUACAGGAAGGCUGUAACGAAGGAGAUCGCAGACACAAUCAAAGCAUAAAAUGUUAGGACUGUUGAAAGAAAUAUUAAUUACUGUUUUGUUAAAGCUUUUGACAGUGUAAUAACACCUAAUGACAUUAUUAUGACUACUAUUACGACACUUAUGACAUGAUGAUUUCUUGAUUAAUGUCAAGUUGUCAUAACAAAGACAUUUUGAAUAAUGUCAACUGUGUAUUAAAAGUGUCAUGUUUUACUGAAUGACACUUUAUGACAACAGUCAUAAAUAUUCAUGAAGACUUACUCGUGUUCUUGACAUGUUGUUAUGUCAUGUUUAUGACGGUGUCAUGACAGUCUUAUUCACAACCCGUCAAUUAAAGUGUUACCUUUUUAUGUCCAUCAUUAUCUUUUUAAUUCUUUCCAGCUUCCUCUCUUCCUGGAGGAUAGAAAACAUCCACCACACCAUGAUGCUGCCUCCACCAUGUUCAUCAUCACCGCUUUAGGUUGACGUGUAAUGCCUUACUGUUGUUCUCAAGCCUCAGGCCACUGAUUACUAGACAUACAUUCUCAUAACGAAACACGCUGCUGUAUUCAAAAUGUUUUUACGGCUGCAGGACAAGCUUAAGCAGAGAUCAAUUGGCUCUAAUUACAUCUGAGGUUUGCAGUUAGUCUUGGUUUCACUUCUGUGUUAUGAGACAGGCAGCUAUAUUUAGCACACACCUGGUGCUGUGUGUGGUGUUAUUCCUCUCCAGUAAUGUUUCCCUCUGUUCUUUAUGUUAUUUUAUUUUUUA